This 481-nucleotide ribosomal RNA is filed under the name uncultured bacterium. RNAcentral describes it as "partial 16S ribosomal RNA". It matches the Rfam family "Bacterial small subunit ribosomal RNA", at positions 30 to 507 of the family's 1533-position model. The record is from RNAcentral.
UUGCACGCUGGCGGCAUGCCUUACACAUGCAAGUCGAACGGUAACGGGCCUUCGGGUGCCGCCGAGUGGCGAACGGGUGAGUAAUACAUCGGAACGUGCCCGAUCGUGGGGGAUAACGAGGCGAAAGCUUUGCUAAUACCGCAUACGAUCUACGGAUGAAAGCAGGGGACCGCAAGGCCUUGCGCGGACGGAGCGGCCGAUGGCAGAUUAGGUAGUUGGUGGGAUAAAAGCUUACCAAGCCGACGAUCUGUAGCUGGUCUGAGAGGAUGAUCAGCCACACUGGGACUGAGACACGGCCCAGACUCCUACGGGAGGCAGCAGUGGGGAAUUUUGGACAAUGGGCGCAAGCCUGAUCCAGCCAUGCCGCGUGCAGGAUGAAGGCCUUCGGGUUGUAAACUGCUUUUGUACGGAACGAAAAGCCUUCUUUUAAUACAGGAGGGUCAUGACGGUACCGUAAGAAUAAGCACCGGCUAACUACGUG